AGGCCUUCAAGAUCCCAUCAAGCUGUUAUUGAUCCUAUCGGCAGAGAAGAGGUCAAGAAGGAGAGAUGUGAGCCUGCCCAGUACGCAGAGACUUCAGAAUUCAGAGAUUGGUUGUUACUAGAGAGAUUUCAGGAGACCUUGAAUGGCAAAGCGAAAUUCCAGCCUUAUUUUCUCUUUUAAUGGAAACGUAGAAUGUCUUCAUUGAUUCAAUUAAAUAUCGAGAUUCUGAAAAGGGGCUCCUGGCCGCCACCCCUGCUCUGAGGGCCCUGAGGUGGGCCCAGAAACCGAGGGGCACCGCACACGCAAACCUCCUCCCCAGAAGAGAAGAAAGAUCCCCUCCUCCUAGAGUCUUCCCUCUCUUCAGGGCCUGCACCCCAGCGCCCAGAGGAGAGGCGUCCCUCCUCCAGUUCCUCCCCUCCUGGCCCAGGUGUCUCCAAAGGAUGCGCCUCCUUCCAGCGGGGCUGGAGAUGGUUAGAAAGUCUGAGGGAGAGCCCGGCAGCCUUCCAGGCAUCUGGAAAAAUGUGAGGAGAAACCAGGAAGCAAUAAGGGAGGGGAGCUUUGGAGAACUCCAGCUCUAAUGGCCUGCAGUGCUGGGACCAAAAGUCGGUCAGGUUUGCAUAGGCUUUUAGCUGGAAGGGACCCCAGAGCCCAUAUCCUUAUAGUUUACAGAUGCCUCUCUGGGCAGCGGGCCAGAGAACAGCGUAUGGCCGGGCUGGGACGUGGAGCCCAUGGCUUGUGUUUUGAGUCCUGGAGCCUCUCAGUAUGGGUUCUCAGACAGCAGAGCAGUCAGGAUCAGGCAGCUGGGGUCCAGAGACUUGCUCAGUCAUACAGCCAGGAAGUUUCUAAAGUCAAAUUUGAAUCCAGGUCCUCCAGAUUCUUCCAUCUCUCCCUCCCUCCUUCUUUCCUUCCUUCCUUCCUUCCUUCCUCUUGUCUUCCUUCUUUUCUUCCUUCCUUUAUUUCUUCCUCUUUUCUUUCUCCCUUUCUUUUCUUCCUUUCUUUCCUGUCCUUCCUUUCUUUUUCUUCCUUUUACUUCCUUUUCUUCCUCUCUUUCCUGUCCUUCCUUUCUUUUUCUUCCUUUUGCUUCCUUUUCUUCCUCUCUUUCCUGUCCUUCCUUUCUUUUUCUUCCUUCUUCUUCCUUUCCUUUUCAUUCCCUGCUUAGAGCUCAGAGAUUCAGAGCUGAAAGAAUCUUAAUGGUUAUCUGGGGCCACUCUUUCAUUUUACAAAUGAGGAAACUGAGGAGGUUACUUCCUCCGAUCACCAAGACAAGUAAGCUGAAGAGCUGA
Molecule: long non-coding RNA, 1283 nt
Filed under: Monodelphis domestica (gray short-tailed opossum)
Lineage: Eukaryota; Metazoa; Chordata; Mammalia; Didelphimorphia; Didelphidae
Description: lncRNA (ENSMODG00000044140.1)
Source: RNAcentral